Molecule: ribosomal RNA, 244 nt
Filed under: uncultured bacterium
Lineage: Bacteria
Description: partial 16S ribosomal RNA
Rfam family: Bacterial small subunit ribosomal RNA
Source: RNAcentral
ACUCCUACGGGAGGCAGCAGUGGGGAAUAUUGGACAAUGGGCGAAAGCCUGAUCCAGCCAUGCCGCGUGUGUGAAGAAGGUCUUCGGAUUGUAAAGCACUUUAAGUUGGGAGGAAGGGCAGUAAGUUAAUACCUUGCUGUUUUGACGUUACCGACAGAAUAAGCACCGGCUAACUCCGUGCCAGCAGCCGCGGUAAUACGGAGGGUGCAAGCGUUACUCGGAAUCACUGGGCGUAAAGCGCGCG